GACGAACGCUGGCGGCGUGCUUAACACAUGCAAGUCGAACGGAAAGGCCCUGCUUUUGUGGGGUGCUCGAGUGGCGAACGGGUGAGUAACACGUGAGUAACCUUCCCUUGACUUUGGGAUAACUUCAGGAAACUGGGGCUAAUACCUGAUAGGAGCUCCUGCUGCAUGGUGGUGUUUGGAAAGUUUCGGCGGUUGGGGAUGGACUCACGGCUUAUGAGCUUGUUGGUGGGGUAGUGGCUUACCAAGGCUUUGACGGGUAGCCGGCCUGAGAGGGUGAACGGGCACAUUGGGACUAAGAUACGGACCAGACGCCUACGGGAGGCAGCAGGGGGGAAUAUUGCACAAUGGGCGGAAGCCUGAUGAAGAAAUGCCGCGUGCGGGAUGAAGGCCUUCGGGUGGUAAACCGCUUUCGCCUGUGACGAAGCGUGAGUGACGGUAAUGGGUAAAGAAGCACCGGCUAACUACGUG
Molecule: ribosomal RNA, 468 nt
Filed under: uncultured bacterium
Lineage: Bacteria
Description: partial 16S ribosomal RNA
Rfam family: Bacterial small subunit ribosomal RNA
Source: RNAcentral